CUGAUGUUGCUGGCAUUGUUGAAAACUUGGGCAAAAAACUUUUUGGCAGAGCAGCCAACCUUAUAUCUCGACACAGAGAGUUAAUGGAGUACUUAAAAUCUAGUGUUUUGGAUAUAGUGGAGGAUGAAUGUAAGAAGCUCUGUAACCCCCAUCACCACUUCAUGCUGUGGAGGACAAGUUCUCCUGACUUACACAAAUUCUCAUUCAAUGAGUUGUUUGAAGAUCUGAAGAGACUGUCCCCAUUUACAGUAUAUUCAGCAUGAUUGCAAAAAUGGCCAAAGACUCACUUCCCCACAUCUGCAUUGUGGCCUCAGUAGCUCUGAGAGGAAGAAACCCCCGGUUAUCAGCACUGGCCUAUUAUGUUGAUGCUGUCUUGUUGUAUGGUGGGGCAAAAAAGGCUGUUUUCCAGUGACUGGGAAAACUGGGCAUCUCUACAAUUCAUCAAAGUGCAGUUGGCAAACAGAAAGAGUUGGCACAUAACUGCAAGCCUCCUGUGUUCUCUUUAAAAAAAGACCUGGAAUCUUACCUCAGCUCCCAAGUUACAAACAUAAGUGAGCAGGAAAGGACAUUAAAGGUAAGCACUUCCAUAUCAAGCUGCACCGGUGAGCCCACCAAACAGCCUACCGAAGUGGUUGAUUUCCGUGAUGUGUUCACAUUCAGCGCACUUUCGGAUGAGGACAUGGCUGAUUUGGGUGUUGUACCCCUCUCUGUUCCAGCACUUCUAGCGACAUCUAUACCACACACAUAUUCAAUUGUUUUUGAUAACCUUGACUUUUUUAUACGCACACAUCACCAGUCAACCAACCAGACAAACAAGUCUAUACACUGGAUCCAUCACAUGUGUGUCAUCGACCAUUUACCCUCACUCCAUCUCCCAAACACUAAACCGGCCAAUAGCUUGUCAGACUAUGAUCUCGGGGAGUCACUUCCAGGUCCACAUACACAAGCCUGCAUGCGGCGAGAGUUUGUUGUUUUGGGAAGCCGUAUCCUGACCAGUUAUUUGGAAAUACUGAAGCCUUUCGCAAGUGCUGUUGUCCAUCACAUUCCCCAUCUGUCCACGGACGAAAUGGCCCAGACCUCAACCCAUUUCCCGCUAGGACUUCUCUUUAAAAAUGAAAACAAAACUGGUGACUUGGUGGAUGUGCUCCAGAACAGA
Molecule: long non-coding RNA, 1156 nt
Organism: Paramisgurnus dabryanus
Lineage: Eukaryota; Metazoa; Chordata; Actinopteri; Cypriniformes; Cobitidae
Source: RefSeq, a predicted model, not a curated record